UAGGGAAUCUUCCACAAUGGACGCAAGUCUGAUGGAGCAACGCCGCGUGAGUGAAGAAGGUUUUCGGACCGUAAAGCUCUGUUGUUGGUGAAGAAGGAUAGAGGUAGUAACUGGCCUUAUUUGACGGUAAUCAACCAGAAAGUCACGGCUAACUACGUGCCAGCAGCCGCGGUAAUACGUAGGUGGCAAGCGUUGUCCGGAUUUAUUGGGCGUAAAGCGAGCGCAGGCGGAAGAAUAAGUCUGAUGUGAAAGCCCUCGGCUUAACCGAGGAAUUGCAUCGGAAACUGUUUUCUUGAGUGCAGAAGAGGAGAGUAGAACUCCAUGUGUAGCGGUGGAAUGCGUAGAUAUAUGGAAGAAUACCAGUGGCGAAGGCGGCUCUCUGGUCUGCAACUGACGCUGAGGCUCGAAAGCAUGGGUAGCGAACAGGAUUAGAUACCCUGGUAGUCCAUGCCGUAAACGAUGAGUGCUAAGUGUUGGGAGGCUUCCGCCUCUCAGUGCUGCAGCUAACGCAUUAAGCACUCCGCCUGGGGGAGUACGACCGCAAGGUUGAAAC
This 553-nucleotide ribosomal RNA is filed under the name uncultured bacterium. RNAcentral describes it as "partial 16S ribosomal RNA". It matches the Rfam family "Bacterial small subunit ribosomal RNA", at positions 355 to 900 of the family's 1533-position model. The record is from RNAcentral.